UAGAAAACGCUAUAUCUACACGUUUUCCCUAUACUUCCUUGUACGUUUUUGAACAGGGUGUAACGUACAUUUGCUCCUUACGGUGGGUGUGCCGGAGUGUAGCUUGAAAGAAAUUAGUGACAUUUAAAGGGCAGCGGAUACAUUUUGAACCCAUAACCCCUCCCCGUUUUUCAACUGGUCGUUCAUUAUGAGACCGUUUCCGUUGUACUGAACGCAGCCUAGCUUUGAUCGUUUGACUAUCAAUGCAAUGGGUGGGGCCACAAACGCUAUCACGAAUGAGAUAUUUUGAGACCAAUGACCAUCAAGGCAUAUCCAGAUAACAUGUCACAUGGAAUUCAUUAAUGUCCUGCAAAGCAUCGCCAUGGCAUCAUCGAACUGUAACUGCAUCCAAGACGGUACAGAGAAGGAUGAGCUGUUCUCACCUGUGAGCAGCUACAGGUCCGAUGACCUCAGUAGCGGGAACCCCCGGGUCACCGGUCUGGUAGGCUCAGAGCUCAGGCAACAGCAGCAGGAGGAGGAGGCACUGCGGAGGAAGCUCAAGUACUUUUUCAUGAGUCCCUGUGACAAGUACCACGCCAAAGGCCGCAAGCCCUUUAAACUGGUCCUGCAGCUGCUCAAGAUCCUCAUUGUCACUGUACAGUUAGUCCUGUUUGGCUUGAGUAACCAGAUGGUGGUGACAUUCAAGGAAGAGAACACAGCAUCCUUCAAACACCUUUUCCUUAAAGACUACCGGGAUGGCUCUUCAAUGGCAAUCCACACACAGAGUGAACUCUAUAGCCAUAUUUAUUAUGCUGUAGAUCAGUUCCUGGCUCUACCACAGACAUCAGUGGGGCGGUAUGCAUAUGUAUGGGGUGAGGGUGUGAAUGAGAGUGCCCUCUCUCUGUGCCAGCGGUACUACAAGAGGGGCAUCAUCGACCCCAUCAACGACACCUUUGAUAUCGACCCGAAAGUUAUUAACGAUUGCAUUGGUGUGGACCCACUACCAGACCCUCCUUCUCCUGAUUACAGUGACUACAAGAACUUCACUCUCCAGUUUCACAAGCUGAUCAAUGUGACCAUUCAGUUCCAGCUGAAGGCCAUAAACAUCCAGACCAUCAUCAACAAUGAGAUCCCUGACUGCUACACCUUUGCUAUUAUGGUUGUCCUGGAUAACAAGGCUCACAGCGGCAGAGUGAAGAUCAGCCUGCUCAACCAUGCCUCCAUCAAGAAGUGCAAAGACCCCAACGUGUGGGGACAUGCGGAGAACUAUGCACGGGAGGCUUUUGACGUGCUGGUGGCCAUAGUGUGUCUGCUGUCCCUGCUGCUUUGUGGUCGCUCCAUCCUCAGAGGAGUCAUCCUACAACAUGAGUAUGUCCAGUUCUUCAGACACAGACUGAAUCACAGUGUGUGCUGGGCAGACAGGAUGGAGUUCAUUAACGGCUGGUUCAUCCUGCUCAUCAUCAGUGACCUGCUCACCAUCACCGGCAGCUUCAUCAAGAUUGGCAUAGAGUCCAAGAACAUGUCGUUGUAUGAUGUGUGUGGGAUUCUGCUCGGUACCUCCACUCUGCUGGUGUGGGUGGGAGUCCUCCGCUACCUCAGUUUCUUCCAGAAGUACAAUAUCCUGAUUGUGACGCUGCGGGCUGCCUUCCCUAAUGUAAUCCGCUUCUGCCUCUGUGUAGCUGCCAUAUACCUGGGUUAUUGCUUCUGUGGCUGGAUCGUGCUGGGUCCUUACCAUACCAAGUUCCGCUCUCUGUCCAUGGUGUCCGAGUGCCUGUUUUCUCUGAUCAACGGGGACGAUAUGUUUGUGACAUUUGCUGAGAUGCAGAAGAGUGGCACGAUGGUGUGGGUGUUCAGCCAGGUCUACCUCUACACCUUCAUCUCCCUCUUCAUCUACAUGGUGCUCUCCCUCUUCAUUGCGCUCAUCACCGGAGCCUACGAUGCCAUCAUGGUACUGUGGGAGGGAUGAAGGAUGAGGGGACUGAUAGAAGUGGAGGAUGAGGGAUGGCCCAAACCCAGGAGCCGAUGCACAUCACAGACCUGCAUGCUUUCAUAGCAGAGUGUACUGAUACACCUUGCUCUGGAAAGUUCCGUGGCCCAGAGGCAUCCUCCUGUUCAUUCUUCUGCUGCUGCGACUGAAGAGAGAAUCCUCCAGUGGGAGGAUGUCUUCUUGGUGAUCGGACCUUAGACUACACUGUCCUCUGUAGGAUGUGGCACUUCGGUGCAUUUAAAUUCAGACGGGUACAGUACAACUUACUAACUGCUGUAGAUCGCACAUUAAUAUUUAAUAUACCAGUUCAUUGGGUUUUUAUAGCUAACAAGUUCCAUUCAUAUGGCUAGCUAAUUCAUGACUAAUACAACAAUAUAGCUAGCUGUCCUUUCCGAGAGGAAACUGAUUUUGCACAACGUACUGUAUAUCUGAAUAUGUUUUACUAAUUAGGAGUUUUAUUUAUGGUGCAGUUUUGAUUUAUUGUUGAAUUGGGUCUGCAUGACCCUAUGACUGAGGGACGGCGAUGGUUUAAUUGUGCUUUACUGUGCCUGGGGGGCCCUGAACAUUAUGAUUGUCCUCUGAAUCAUGUUUAUGACAGAGACACACACUAACAGACAGGCUGAAACGUGCACACCGUUAUGUACUGUAUUUUUAGGGAAGGCUACUCACUCUUUGGUCCUUUAUUCCCUUCUCCUCCUCUGGAUGGGAUGAUGACAUGUUCAAGGACGGGACCUGCAGCCGUAGUUAGUCAUCAAUAUGUAUGAAGCCUUUGGUGUAAAGAGACAGGUGACCCUGACCUGAACACCAAUGUACUGCAAGACCGCUAUAGUGGGUUUUAUAGUGCACUUUACAGACUAUAUUGCUGAGGAAAAGACACAUUUUAAUUUGAAACAAUGCUAAAUGUUUUAACCACCCUUAUUAAUUAUUUUGUUGGAUGACUGUUGCACCUGACUGAAAUACAAGGCCAGUAAAAUAUUAUUUGAUGAGAUUUAUCUGACAUUGUUUUAUUGAAUUCCGUGUUAAUUUAUUGAAUCUCUCUCCAGGCAAAUUAAUUCUGCAAACCAGUAUGUGGUUCAAAUCAUGUUUCACUGAAGGAAAGGGACUGAAUUAUCAUAUUGUAUCUGUUUGAUUUGAAAAACCGUUUGAAGUGAUAAUGUCAUUUAAUUGUAUGAAAUGUUAUGAAAGCUUAUAGUGAUGUUCAUUAGGAGAAAAAAGGAUUCGUUGCACAAGAUUCGUAAGCGAUCAAAGGGAAGGGAAGAGUUGUCAGUAUAGGACAAAUAGAGAAAUCAUUGUGUACCCAGAAUGCACUGUUUCUGGUGAAGGUGUUUUUCCAUUACAUGUUUUCAAAAGUGAUUUAUUCAAGUAUGUGUUGAUGACUAGAAAUGUACAUUUUUUUGAAUGUUUUUACUUAGUACAUUUAUCUUGCUUGAGAUCAGGUACACAUGUACGAUGAGCCAUGAUGACAGGACUAGAAGCGGUGCUAAAUGUCUCAUGGCAUGCAGCACAGUGGCGUAGAAGAUUACUUGUAAGGAUUGUUGUUGUAGUGUAUUUCUUCACUACAUGUGUUUUAUACUCUGCUAACGUCAUAAUUUGUAUUUCUCAUUGUUUUACUCUGUUAUGGUUGGUUAGACUGAUACUAAUAAUUUUAGUAUGGCCAAAUUGCUCAACAUCUACAUUUUGGAUGAGAAUCUCGCUUGUACAUAUUAUUUUUAUUUUUAAAGCUGUUCUCGUUUUUUUGCCCUUUUUUUCAGUACAUUGCAUUUCUGUGCCACCUCUCUGGCUAAUACCAGUAAACCACCUCCAAUUAAAACUAUUGAAAGCGUA
Oncorhynchus kisutch (coho salmon) is the source of this 3790-nucleotide RNA transcript. It is a transcript of the gene named mucolipin-1, with no coding region annotated. The record is from RefSeq and is a predicted model, not a curated record. The transcript has 15 exons. NCBI's taxonomy places the organism in Eukaryota, Metazoa, Chordata, Actinopteri, Salmoniformes, Salmonidae.